CCUGGCUCAGAUUGAACGCUGGCGGCAGGCCUAACACAUGCAAGUCGAGCGGCAGCGGGAAAGUAGCUUGCUACUUUUGCCGGCGAGCGGCGGACGGGUGAGUAAUGCCUGGGAAAUUGCCCAGUCGAGGGGGAUAACAGUUGGAAACGACUGCUAAUACCGCAUACGCCCUACGGGGGAAAGCAGGGGACCUUCGGGCCUUGCGCGAUUGGAUAUGCCCAGGUGGGAUUAGCUUGUUGGUGAGGUAAUGGCUCACCAAGGCGACGAUCCCUAGCUGGUCUGAGAGGAUGAUCAGCCACACUGGAACUGAGACACGGUCCAGACUCCUACGGGAGGCAGCAGUGGGGAAUAUUGCACAAUGGGGGAAACCCUGAUGCAGCCAUGCCGCGUGUGUGAAGAAGGCCUUCGGGUUGUAAAGCACUUUCAGCGAGGAGGAAAGGUUGAUACCUAAUACGUAUCANCUGUGACGUUACUCGCAGAAGAAGCACCGGCUAAC
RNAcentral lists this ribosomal RNA (496 nucleotides) under Aeromonas sp. B2_2. RNAcentral describes it as "bacterial SSU rRNA". It matches the Rfam family "Bacterial small subunit ribosomal RNA", at positions 18 to 501 of the family's 1533-position model. Lineage: Bacteria; Pseudomonadati; Pseudomonadota; Gammaproteobacteria; Aeromonadales; Aeromonadaceae. The record is from RNAcentral.